GCGCCUGUACAUUUCCUACACAGACAAUCCUUGAGGUUGACAUGACGCCGACCAGAGGACAUUGAGCGAGCGUCAAAAUGGGUACCUCAUCCUCUACCUCUCUUUGGCUUCACGCCCGCAUGCUCAGGCAUCUGGCUAAUUCUGUACAAAUUCGUCCCAAACUCUCACAUGUUAAGUUGUGUACGGUGGUUUUGAAAUAAGUACAUCCUGCAUGUCCCAUGCCUGGAAGUGAUUUAGACCGUAACCAUAGAGAGGCACUGUGGUGCAGAAAGAAGGCUCUGUCUCAGAACGCCAUGUCGGUGAUAGCAGAGGUAUGUCCUGCCUUAAAGCAGUACAUCAAUAAUUCAAAGCACCUGAAGUCACUUCUCCUAAAUAAGUCAUACUGACUUUUGUAAUACUACAGCAUUGACUAUGCCCCAAACAAGAGUGCAUCCAUACAUGGAAACAAUGCUUUAAUAGCAGUACUGAAGGGAAACUGGCAGGUCUAUACAGUGUCGCGUUGAGCAAGACAUUUGUGUCCAAUGACUCAAGUCAGUAAUCAAGGUUAAAGUUAUGCAGUCAAGUGGUGGCAAUGGUUUGCUUUUUUAAAACAAAGUGUAUGUGGUUUUCAUGACCAUAAACAAAUAUAGUGAUGAAAAGCUGUUAAGUUUGUUUCCCAUAGAAGGGACGUCAAAAGUUGUUACAUUUAAAGAGUGAACAUAGUAAUCAAUGUGAAGAUGUGUGUUUAUGUCACACUUGUGCUGCCUUUGUGUGUGUGUGUGUGUGUGCGCGCACAAAUGAAAACAUAGAUCGCAAUGGGUCAAAAGGUGAGAUUUCAAUCUGAUUGUCAUAGUUAACGUAUUUCACGCCGAGAAAGUGCCAGAUCAGGGAGGGAAAAAUGAUGUCAUCUUUAAGUAAAUCCAAAUUCAAAUGUUUUGCUUUACAUGUUGUGACCAAGGUACUUGAUCCUGUUUGAGGGACAGUCCAUACGAAAUCUCACUCACAAAACAUGUAGAAAAGAAAAUCAAAUCCAGCUCCCCGCCUUCAUCUUGUAGUUAAACUUCCCCCCAGCACACACACAUAUG
Gasterosteus aculeatus aculeatus (three-spined stickleback) is the source of this 1064-nucleotide long non-coding RNA. The record is from Ensembl. NCBI's taxonomy places the organism in Eukaryota, Metazoa, Chordata, Actinopteri, Perciformes, Gasterosteidae.